Molecule: long non-coding RNA, 3673 nt
Organism: Manis pentadactyla (Chinese pangolin)
Lineage: Eukaryota; Metazoa; Chordata; Mammalia; Pholidota; Manidae
Exons: 4
Source: RefSeq, a predicted model, not a curated record
CCAGAAGGCACAAGGUACAAGCACUCACGGGAGAGGAUGCCAGGAAUGGAGACUGAGCACUAGAAAGGCUAACUCUGCAGAAAACACCUCCAUCUGGUCCUCCUCUUUCACUCUGCACAUGGUAGAGGCUUCCCUCCCUUCUGUAAACAGCCUUCGCAUCCCAGCUGAGCUCCCCAGCAUGGAAUUGUCAACAGGGAGGGAACACAGGCCACCACAGCAGAAUACCAGAUGGAGAUGGAGCUCUUCAGUGGAACCUAACUCUUCAGUAAUAGGAAGCUGAAUACAAAGCCCACCAUCAGGAGCAGCUUUCACACAGACAGACAUUAAGUAUUCCCCAAAUUGAACACUUUCUAUCUCUUGUGGCUUGAUCCAGACUGGUUUGCCUUAUAAUUUCUUGGAGACAAGCCCAGGAACUUCACAUGCCAGCAAUCCUCUUUAUGGCACCAGAGAGACAGGACUGGCACUUUUGACAGGCUUCACUCCACAGGGAUGGCCAGUUGGGCUUGUUUAAGUCAGCAUCACAACAGUUUGGAAAGAGCCUGCAUAUUCAGGAAGUGACAAACACCAGUACUGCUGAAACCAGAAAAAGCAGAGCCCCUGCCUCUGCCCGGAGCCCACUCACCACUAGCACAAUUUAUUGUGAUAAGAAGAGGAAUGUGUCAUAUGCCUGGAAAGUCCAGCUUGUGUCCCUAAAUGGUCAUGACUUUAGCAUUAAAAGGUUUUGCAGCAUGACUGGCCUCCAUUAAAGACCCAACCCUGCAGCAAAGGCUGAUCUAAGUCUAGGCAUCCCUCACCCAUCUCUUCAGUCAGCUCCACCCCUCAAGGCAACCCCCCACCUCGCCUCUGGCUGACCAUCAAGCCCAGGGCAUUGCAGGAUUGGGGGUAAGGGAUGAGAGGGUGGGCAGGGGUCUCAUUGCUAAUAAGGAUGGCCCCACAGCAUCUGCGCAGGUGCACCGGUGGCCCUCUUUAAGACUUGGGCAAGGGUUGGGGACCAACGAGGGACUGCGUUCUGUUGCCUGGAAAACCAGGAUUCUUCAGCAAAGGGAUCUGCCCAAAGUCUAGAAUACAAGCCAGCAACUUGCUUUACACCUUCUUCAAAAGGCAAAAGAAACUGUAGAAACUGGCUGUUAUGGCCUAAGUAUAUUCUAAGUUCAAAGUCAAGUGUUCUGUUACCACUGUUACUUGUUUUAAAAUCCCCCUUUCAGUAUUAGUGUUGGCCAAUGAAGGUGUCUGGGAUCAGAAAUAUAUAGGCUCUCUAUCAAAUGAACACAAAACAUCACUUCCACAUGUGAAAACUUAACAAAGGGAAACCUCACUAACAGGGCCCAGCAAGGCCCAGCAGGGGUCGCUCUCAGGCCCUACCAUAUCGCCUUAGCUUUACUGGCCACCAGGAGGGAGGAAGGUUUCUGCCUCUCUGCAACAGGCCAGCCAGUGAGAGACUGUUACAACCUAGCCAAUGAACAGCCACAAUACUUGGAACUCCCAAUUUCCUCCAAUGGGCUUUUUGUUUAUAACAGCCCCUCCCAAGUUCACCCUUUCAUCCUUUGUUCUCUGAACUUGCCUAUGGUUUUACACCAUCUUGCUUGCUCUGAAUUGUAAUUCUCUGCUAUUGCCCUGCUAUUGUAAACCUGCUUUUGCUGAAAAAAAAAGACUGAGUUUUAUUUUCAAGGUUAACUCACACAAUAUGCAAUUUCUAGGACAAAAACUCAGUACAGAUCAAAUAAAUGACAGUAUGCAACAAAGACAAGUAAAGGCUGCCAUUCUUCAAAAAGCUAACACGAGUUAUCAUAAAAUCCAGCAGUUCCACUCCUAGGCAUAUACUCUACAGAAUUAAAAACAUAAGACCACACAAAACUUCUACAUGAAUGUUCACAGUAGCAUUAUUCCUGGUAGCCAAAAAGUGAAAACAAUCCAAAUGUCCACUAAAUGAUGAGUGGAUGAACAAAAUGUGGUAUAGCUAUACAAUCAUUAUUUAGCAACAAAACAUAAUAAAGUAAUGAUGCUACAAAAUGGAUGGAUGUUGAAAACAUCAUGCUAAGUAAAAAGUUAGUUGUAAAAGAGCACAUAUUAUAUGAAUCAGUUUAUACAAAAUGUCCAUAAUAGUCAUGUCUACUGGAACAGAAAGUAUAUAAGUACUUGCUCAGGGAUAGGACUUCAUGACUAUUCAUACAACUGUCCUGUUAUGAUUUGUGUACUUUUAAACAUUUCAUGUUUCAAUAAAAAUGUUUAUUAAAAGAAAAUUUGUAUAAAAAAAAGGCAAGUAAAGGCUGAGAUAGAACAUUGGCAUGGUGUUCGUAAAAGAUUAUUAGGUGCCCAGUGUUUAAUAAGUGUAAUGGUGUGCUAUUGUGUCUUGUAGUGGGUGAUAGGAAAUUGAAAAGACAUGGUUUUUGGAUCUUGACAGAAAGAGAUGGUUCCUGGCAAUAAGGAAUCUCCAUGUACAUUAAUUGGACAAUAAAUGCAUAUAUAAGCAGCAUUUCUCUUUCCAUUAUUCUUAAUCUUUAUUGAUAAAUCACUAUACCUCAAUGGGCUUAUGAAUAUUGUACAAUGCAUUAAUUUUGAAUUAAUUCAUUUAUAUAAACAGGAGUCCCACAAAUGUGUCUUUCUGGGGCCUGACCUAAGGUGGCCCCUGAUGACCCCUGACUGGCCAGUGGCAUGAUGGAUUUCAAAGGUAAUUAGAAUAUGAAAAAAAAAACCAAACCAAAAACUUGUAUCUUAAAAAGAUGAAAUAUAAUGAUUUAGUGGCUUAGAAAAGACAAAAAAUUCUUUCUUUCUCACUUGAGAUACUUAUUCUAGGAUGGUUGGAGGCUCUGUGCCACAUGGUCAUUCAGGGAUCCAGGUUCCUUGCAUCUUCCUCUGUCAUCCUCUAGGGCAUCAUUCUCAGUUGCAUGGUCAAAGCUGGGACUCAAGCAAGUUUAUGUGUGGUGCAAGGGAAGGAGAAAGAGUGAGCAUCAGCAGGCCUACUAUCUUCAGUCAUAGGUCUGGUCAUCUCUUCUGUUCAAAUAGUGCAAACUUAGUCACAUGGUCACACCUAACUGCAAGGGAGACUGGGAAAUGCUGGACAGCUAUGGCCCCAAAUACAAAUGUGUUACUAUGGAAGUAGGGGAGGAAGUGUCUUGGUGGAACUCUGGUAGUCUUCAUUUUAGGAACCAUUUGAAUGAAUCAUCUCAGUGGCUAGUUUGUCCUAAAGACACAUAAGAGAGCUUUCGUUUGUCACCUGGAGUUUGAUUUGAACAAUCAUGGCACAACCUUUGUACUGCCAUUCAGCAAAGCCAUCCCUAUUAUUACCUCUCACCUUGAUGGGUUUAAUAAUGAUGAACUUGUUUUUAGGAUAAAGACUGUGGUAGCUCUCUGUUGCUUUUUAUCAUACAGAAUUCUUUCACCUGUCCUCUGGUAGUGGUACCCUGAUUUUCCUCUUGGGAGCCCCCACUUUUCCAUGUUUUAUGUCCUGCAUGCACAGUUGACUGUACUCCCAGACCCACGGAUGGGCAUGUGACUGCAGCCUGGCCAGUUAGGCCAUCACAUUCCCCGGCCAUGGUGUUUUGCUCAGUGACAAACCCAUGGUCCAAUCAGAGCCAAUGAAGUGCAAUGAGACUUUUUCUAGGAUUGCAGAGAGAACACUUUGCAUUUUCCUUCCACAUUCUCAAACCUUAGAAGAUACAGGACUGGUAGCCAU